Long non-coding RNA from Trifolium pratense (red clover), 492 nucleotides. RefSeq lists it as uncharacterized. The transcript is spliced from 4 exons. Lineage: Eukaryota; Viridiplantae; Streptophyta; Magnoliopsida; Fabales; Fabaceae. The record is from RefSeq and is a predicted model, not a curated record.
UCUUGCAUGCAAAAGUAUAGUGUAUAAUACAAUUUGGUGCAUUAUUUAACAAUACGCGCCAAAUUUCUGUUCAAGGUAUACGCGCCAAAUCUCAACAACUAGAUCAUAACCACGUUUAGACAUCAACAAAAGCUAAUACGCCUCAAAUCUCUAUUCAAGGUAUGAAGCAAUUGGUAUGAACCUAGGAAUCAGAUCAUUUAUUGGUUUGGCAAAUGAAUAAGGUACGACACUCAAUUAGUAGCACUGGCGCGUCACUCGGCUUCUCGGCUGUGUCUUAGAAGCGUACAAAUACGCUAAAUUUGGGAAACAAAAAGUGUUUGUGGCAAUAACUAGAUGCAAUAUUCAGACACCAAAACUACUGCAAAACCAAUAAACGAUUGAUAUAUUUCUCAUAAAUUGCAGGAUGAGUUAUAUCAAUUUGUAGUAUGUUACAUACAUCAGUAGGACCUCCUGUCAAUUUCUUAGCUGCUAUUGAAGCAUCUGAAUAUUUUC